This 494-nucleotide ribosomal RNA is filed under the name uncultured bacterium. Its description in RNAcentral is "partial 16S ribosomal RNA". It matches the Rfam family "Bacterial small subunit ribosomal RNA", at positions 28 to 507 of the family's 1533-position model. The record is from RNAcentral.
GACGAACGCUGGCGGCGGGCUUAACACAUGCAAGUCGAACGGUUAAGCGCCUUCCUUUUUGGUGGUUGUGGAUGAGUGGCGAACGGGUGAGUAACACGUUACUAACCUGCCCCCUUCUUCUUGCGAACCGCAUGAAAGUUUGGCUAAUACUGGAUAUUCUGGGUCUGGCGCAUGAUGGGUCUGGGCGAGAUCUUGUUUCGGUGGGUGAUGUGCUCGCGUCCUAGCAGCUUGGUGGUGGGGUGAUGGCCUACCAUGGCGGGUCCGGGUAGCCGGCCUGAGAGGGUGGACGGUAACACUGGGAAUGAGACACGGAGCAGACUCCUACGGGAGGCAGCAGUGAAGAAUAUUGCACAAUGGGAGCAAGCCUGAUGCAGUGACGCCGCGUGAGGGAUGGAGGCCUUAGUGUUGUGAACCUCUUUCGCGAGUGAAGCAGGCCUGCCUAGUUUGUGGGUGGGUUGACGGUAGCUGGAUAAGAAGCGCCGGUUAACUACGUG